Molecule: ribosomal RNA, 366 nt
Filed under: uncultured eukaryote
Lineage: Eukaryota
Description: partial 18S ribosomal RNA
Rfam family: Eukaryotic small subunit ribosomal RNA
Source: RNAcentral
CAAUAGCGUAUAUUAAAGUUGUUGCAGUUAAAAAGCCCGUAGUUGAAUUUCUGGCGGGCGCGCCGGUCUUCCAAGUGUUGUACUGGGCGCAGUCCGCCAUCCUUGUGGAGAGGGCUCGCAUUGAGUUGCGUGUCGGAUCUGCAUCAUUUACUGUGAAAAAAUUAGAGUGUUUAAAGCAGGCUAUCGCUUGAAUACAUUAGCAUGGAAUAAUAAGAUAGGACUUCGGUCUAUUUUGUUGGUUGCGAACCGAGGUAAUGAUUAAUAGGGAUAGUUGGGGGUAUUCAUAUUUAAUUGUCAGAGGUGAAAUUCUUGGAUUUAUGAAAGAUGAACAACUGCGAAANCANNNACCAAGGAUGUUUUCAUNAA